GGGAAUAUUGCGCAAUGGGCGAAAGCCUGACGCAGCGACGCCGCGUGAGGGAUGAAGGUCUUCGGAUCGUAAACCUCUGUCAGAAGGGAAGAAACUAGGGUGCUCUAAUCAUCAUCCUACUGACGGUACCUUCAAAGGAAGCACCGGCUAACUCCGUGCCAGCAGCCGCGGUAAUACGGAGGGUGCAAGCGUUAAUCGGAAUCACUGGGCGUAAAGCGCACGUAGGCUGUUAUGUAAGUCAGGGGUGAAAUCCCACGGCUCAACCGUGGAACUGCCCUUGAUACUGCACGACUUGAAUCCGGGAGAGGGUGGCGGAAUUCCAGGUGUAGGAGUGAAAUCCGUAGAUAUCUGGAGGAACAUCAGUGGCGAAGGCGGCCACCUGGACCGGUAUUGACGCUGAGGUGCGAAAGCGUGGGGAGCAAACAGG
RNAcentral lists this ribosomal RNA (427 nucleotides) under uncultured bacterium. RNAcentral describes it as "bacterial SSU rRNA". It matches the Rfam family "Bacterial small subunit ribosomal RNA", at positions 357 to 776 of the family's 1533-position model. The record is from RNAcentral.